GAUGAACGCUGGCGGCGUGCCUAAUACAUGCAAGUCGAGCGAACGGACGAGAAGUUUGCUUCUCUGAUGUUAGCGGCGGACGGGUGAGUAACACGUGGAUAACCUACAUAUAAGACUGGGAUAACUUAGGGAAACCGUAGAUAACAUCGGAUAAUAUUUUGACAGCAUGGUUCAAAAGUGAAAGACGGUCUUGCUGUCACUUAUAGAUGGAUCCGCGCUGCAUUAGCUAGUUGGUAAGGUAACGGCUUACCAAGGCAACGAUGCAUAGCCGACCUGAGAGGGUGAUCGGCCACACUGGAACUGAGACACGGUCCAGACUCCUACGGGAGGCAGCAGUAGGGAAUCUUCCGCAAUGGGCGAAAGCCUGACGGAGCAACGCCGCGUGAGUGAUGAAGGUCUUCGGAUCGUAAAACUCUGUUAUUAGGGAAGAACAUAUGUGUAAGUAACUGUGCACAUCUUGACGGUACCUAAUCAGAAAGCCACGGCUAACUACGUG
RNAcentral lists this ribosomal RNA (496 nucleotides) under uncultured bacterium. RNAcentral's name for it is "partial 16S ribosomal RNA". It matches the Rfam family "Bacterial small subunit ribosomal RNA", at positions 28 to 507 of the family's 1533-position model. The record is from RNAcentral.